RNAcentral lists this ribosomal RNA (543 nucleotides) under uncultured bacterium. RNAcentral describes it as "bacterial SSU rRNA". It matches the Rfam family "Bacterial small subunit ribosomal RNA", at positions 777 to 1318 of the family's 1533-position model. The record is from RNAcentral.
AAUAGAUACCCCGGUAGUCCACGCCGUAAACGGUGGGUACUAGGCGUGGGUUUCCUUCCUUGGGAUCCGUGCCGUAGCUAACGCAUUAAGUACCCCGCCUGGGGAGUACGGCCGCAAGGCUAAAACUCAAAGGAAUUGACGGGGGGCCCGCACAAGCGGCGGAGCAUGUGGAUUAAUUCGAUGCAACGCGAAGAACCUUACCUGGGUUUGACAUGCACAGGACGCCGGCAGAGAUGUCGGUUCCCUUGUGGCCUGUGUGCAGGUGGUGCAUGGCUGUCGUCAGCUCGUGUCGUGAGAUGUUGGGUUAAGUCCCGCAACGAGCGCAACCCUUGUCCUAUGUUGCCAGCGGGUUAUGCCGGGGACUCGUAGGAGACUGCCGGGGUCAACUCGGAGGAAGGUGGGGAUGACGUCAAGUCAUCAUGCCCCUUAUGUCCAGGGCUUCACACAUGCUACAAUGGCCGGUACAAAGGGCUGCGAUGCCGUGAGGUGGAGCGAAUCUUGGUAAAGCCGGUCUCAGUUCGGAUCGGGGUCUGCACUCGACCC